Aethina tumida (small hive beetle) is the source of this 550-nucleotide long non-coding RNA. RefSeq lists it as uncharacterized. Lineage: Eukaryota; Metazoa; Arthropoda; Insecta; Coleoptera; Nitidulidae. The record is from RefSeq and is a predicted model, not a curated record. The transcript has 3 exons.
AUAUUAACGAUAACUUAAUCAAUUAUUAUAUAGUUGAAAAAUAAAUGUCACGCAGUUUUCUACAAAAUUAAAAGCAACGUACACGGCGCAUAGAUCCGAACGAUCUCGGUAGCAAACAAGCUGGCGAAGAUAGCGGGAGAUAAGCAUCGAAAUGCUGUGCAAAACGGGAACGCGAAUAAUCGGGAGUCGGGUGUUUUGUUCUUCCGCAGGUUUGACGGACUGACAGGCUCUAAUCGUGGAGACGGGGCAGGCAAUUAUCGAUGGCAAAACCGGCAAUUAUCAUCCUGCGUGCCGGUUACCUAUGUUCAGUUAGUUGGUUUGUUAGUACACACGGCAUGGUGUAAGUCACAUCUGCAUUAGUUGCACAAUUAUUCGUGGUGUGAGCUUGCCAUUACUACUAACUGAUCAUUCACGUCAGGAAGUUGUUAUAUUUUGUCCACUUUCGGUUUGGUCGAAACGCAAACUUUGCAGGAAUAAAGACAUCGGAGUUGGAAUUGAUUGGCAAGUACUGGCACGAAUGUUAGACUUGUAUGUUGUUAAAUAAAGUAAU